GACGAACGCUGGCGGCGUGCUUAACACAUGCAAGUCGAACGGAAAGGCCUCUUUCGGGGGGUACUCGAGUGGCGAACGGGUGAGUAACACGUGAGUAACCUGCCCUUGACUUUGGGAUAACUUCAGGAAACUGGGGCUAAUACCGGAUAGGAGCUCCUGCUGCAUGGUGGGGGUUGGAAAGUUUCGGCGGUUGGGGAUGGACUCGCGGCUUAUCAGCUUGUUGGUGGGGUAGUGGCUUACCAAGGCUUUGACGGGUAGCCGGCCUGAGAGGGUGACCGGCCACAUUGGGACUGAGAUACGGCCCAGACUCCUACGGGAGGCAGCAGUGGGGAAUAUUGCACAAGGGGUGGAAGCCUGAUGCAGCAACGCCGUGUGCGGGAUGACGGCCUUCGGGUUGUAAACCGCUUUCGCUCAUGACGAAGCUUUGUGUGACGGUAGUGGGUAAAGAAGCAUCGGCUAACUACGUG
This 467-nucleotide ribosomal RNA is filed under the name uncultured bacterium. Its description in RNAcentral is "partial 16S ribosomal RNA". It matches the Rfam family "Bacterial small subunit ribosomal RNA", at positions 28 to 507 of the family's 1533-position model. The record is from RNAcentral.